AGUGAACGCUGGCGGUAGGCCUAACACAUGCAAGUCGAACGGCAGCACAGGAGAGCUUGCUCUCUGGGUGGCGAGUGGCGGACGGGUGAGGAAUACAUCGGAAUCUACUCUGUCGUGGGGGAUAACGUAGGGAAACUUACGCUAAUACCGCAUACGACCUACGGGUGAAAGCAGGGGACCUUCUGGCCUUGCGCGAUUGAAUGAGCCGAUGUCGGAUUAGCUAGUUGGCGGGGUAAAGGCCCACCAAGGCGACGAUCCGUAGCUGGUCUGAGAGGAUGAUCAGCCACACUGGAACUGAGACACGGUCCAGACUCCUACGGGAGGCAGCAGUGGGGAAUAUUGGACAAUGGGCGCACGCCUGAUCCAGCCAUUCCGCGUGGGUGAAGAAGGCCUUCGGGUUGUAAAGCCCUUUUGUUGGGAAAGAAAUCCAGCUGGCUAAUACCCGGUUGGGAUGACGGUACCCAAAGAAUAAGCACCGGCUAACUUCGUGCCAGCCGCCGCCGUAA
Molecule: ribosomal RNA, 506 nt
Filed under: uncultured bacterium
Lineage: Bacteria
Description: partial 16S ribosomal RNA
Rfam family: Bacterial small subunit ribosomal RNA
Source: RNAcentral